GAUGAACGCUGGCGGCGUGCCUAAUACAUGCAAGUCGAGCGAACAGACGAGAGUGCUUGCACUCUCUGACGUUAGCGGCGGACGGGUGAGUAACACGUGGGUAACCUACCUAUAAGAUUGGGAUAACUUCGGGAAACCGGAGCUAAUACCGGAUAAUAUUUAGCUUCGCAUGAAGCAAUAGUGAAAGACGGUUCUGCUGUCACUUAUAGAUGGACCCGCGGUGUAUUAGCUAGUUGGUGAGGUAACGGCUCACCAAGGCAACGAUACAUAGCCGACCUGAGAGGGUGAUCGGCCACACUGGGACUGAGACACGGCCCAGACUCCUACGGGAGGCAGCAGUAGGGAAUCUUCCGCAAUGGACGAAAGUCUGACGGAGCAAUGCCGCGUGAGUGAAGAAGGUUUUCGGAUCGUAAAACUCUGUUGUAAGGGAAGAACAAGUACGUUAGUAACUGAACGUACCUUGACGGUACCUUACCAGAAAGCCACGGCUAACUACGUG
This 499-nucleotide ribosomal RNA is filed under the name uncultured bacterium. RNAcentral's name for it is "partial 16S ribosomal RNA". It matches the Rfam family "Bacterial small subunit ribosomal RNA", at positions 28 to 507 of the family's 1533-position model. The record is from RNAcentral.